RNAcentral lists this ribosomal RNA (143 nucleotides) under Ciborinia whetzelii. The record is from RNAcentral. Lineage: Eukaryota; Fungi; Ascomycota; Leotiomycetes; Helotiales; Sclerotiniaceae.
CAGAGUUCAUGCCCGAGAGGGUAGACCUCCCACCCUUGUGUAUGUCAAUAUUUUGUUGCUUUGGCGACUCGCCCUCGUGGGCUCGCCAGUGGAUCAUCAAACUCUAUCUUAUCAAUAUCGUCAGAGCAUUAUUAUAAUAGUUA